RNAcentral lists this ribosomal RNA (258 nucleotides) under Burkholderiales bacterium. RNAcentral describes it as "partial 23S ribosomal RNA". It matches the Rfam family "Bacterial large subunit ribosomal RNA", at positions 2672 to 2925 of the family's 2925-position model. The record is from RNAcentral. Lineage: Bacteria; Pseudomonadati; Pseudomonadota; Betaproteobacteria; Burkholderiales.
CUGCUCCUAGUACGAGAGGACCGGAGUGGACGCAUCUCUGGUGUACCGGUUGUCACGCCAGUGGCAUCGCCGGGUAGCUAAAUGCGGAAGAGAUAAGCGCUGAAAGCAUCUAAGUGCGAAACUCGCCUCAAGAUGAGACUUCCCGGGGACUUGAUCCCCCUGAAGGGUCGCGGAAGACCACCGCGUUGAUAGGUCGGGUGUGUAAGCGCAGCAAUGCGUUGAGCUAACCGAUACUAAUUGCCCGUGAGGCUUGAUCCU